Molecule: long non-coding RNA, 221 nt
Organism: Sycon ciliatum
Lineage: Eukaryota; Metazoa; Porifera; Calcarea; Leucosolenida; Sycettidae
Exons: 3
Source: RefSeq, a predicted model, not a curated record
CUGGAGGCGUUCUACAGCCUGGAGCCCACUGAUAAGGAUUUUGAUGCGACUUGACUGGAAUUGCACCCACAGCCUUUUGUCAGGCCUGUGACAGGCUGACUGUGGUUGCAAGAUGUUAGCCGAAGCCCCACACCAUGAUUAGGGCAUUGGUUCUUGGUCAUCGGUUACCUUAAAGAGGUACCACAGCCUGGCGUUAUUCUCCGUUGACAAUAGAUCCCUGG